Molecule: ribosomal RNA, 263 nt
Filed under: uncultured bacterium
Lineage: Bacteria
Description: partial 16S ribosomal RNA
Rfam family: Bacterial small subunit ribosomal RNA
Source: RNAcentral
CGAAGUCGCAAACUCGCGAGAGUAAGCUAAUCUCUUAAAGCCGUUCUCAGUUCGGACUGUAGGCUGCAACUCGCCUACACGAAGUCGGAAUCGCUAGUAAUCGCGGAUCAGCACGCCGCGGUGAAUACGUUCCCGGGCCUUGUACACACCGCCCGUCACACCAUGGAAGUCUGCAAUGCCCGAAGCCGGUGGCCUAACCACUUAUGUGGAAGGAGCCGUCUAAGGCAGGGCAGAUGACUGGGGUGAAGUCGUAACAAGGUAAC